GCUCUGGUGGUCUAGUGGUAUGAUUCUCGCUUAGGGUUCUAACUCCUGAGCACGAUUGCGAGAGGUCCCGCGUUCAAUCCGCGGCUAGAGCC
Molecule: transfer RNA, 92 nt
Filed under: Pyricularia grisea
Lineage: Eukaryota; Fungi; Ascomycota; Sordariomycetes; Magnaporthales; Pyriculariaceae
Also listed under: 2 other names
Description: tRNA-Pro
Source: RNAcentral